This 1069-nucleotide long non-coding RNA is filed under the name Marmota monax (woodchuck). The record is from RNAcentral. Lineage: Eukaryota; Metazoa; Chordata; Mammalia; Rodentia; Sciuridae.
GUUUGCAAUAUUUUAGGGCUCCCUGGGUACUUAAGAUUAAUGUCUGAAUCAGUAGUGUUAUUGUUUCAAGAUCUUGGUGUGAUGGGAGCCAUUUGAGGCAGGAAUUUUUAUCCCUUAUCAGAACGUAAAAUAUCUCACAGUCUGCAAGAACACCAGUAACUAUGGCUUAUAGCUACUCUCAAAAUAGGCUCAACAUCACGUUUAUUAGCUUUUUUCCUUGGCAGCUAGAAUGCAUAAAUCAGUAUGGAGCUACUUUUUAUCAUCCAGGUAAUACGAUUAAAAUGGGAAUUAGACAUGUCUGAUCAUCCAGAGAUGAGAAACUAAAAUCAUCAACUGCAACCAGGCAAAUGAUGAUAGAGAAUCUACUACGUAAAUGGUGCACUGUUCAGUUGGGGCUGCUGAAAAGGGAUUUUCUGUGUAGCUCAGAGAAGAUCCCCAGAACCCUGAACACUUGUCAUCCUUUCCCUCCCAGAUUACUUAUUGGGAAUGGCAAUGGAGUUUUGAGAAAGUCAGGUCGGCCCUUGGUUUAUGCCUGACCAAAAUUAAUUUAGUGAAUGAACAGUUUCCAAAAAUCACAUUCUGGAAGCAAUGAGAAGACUCAAUAAUGAUGAUGGCACUACUUUCUCAAGUCCUUGUAUCUGCAAAAACUGGCAGUGGAGAUGAGGCAAAUUCCCAUAUGCUCUCCUCCAAGAAAAUGGUAAAAAUGAGUAAUGCCUGUUAAUAAACCAUUUUGAAAGCCAAACCAUCCAGUUAUUAGGAUCAAUGCCUUGACUCCUCCUCCCCAGAAACCUCACCAAUUCGGUAUUACCAUCUCAAUGGAGGUAAGGUGAGGACUGUACAUGAUAAAAAUGGUUGUUUCAUUGACUCCAAAUGGUCAAACAGAACAUUAGAAAUACCAUGGAAACAAGGAGUCACUAUGAGGCUAAUGGUGAGGUUGAGCCACUAUAGACUGACAUGAUAUUUUAGCAGAAGCACACAAGUAUCUGAAUCCUGCUUUUAUCCAUGAUGGCAUUUUCCUAGGAAAUCCCUGAGAACAAAGAAAAUAAUAUAUGUUAGUUGAAUUGUUAAC